This 253-nucleotide ribosomal RNA is filed under the name uncultured bacterium. Its description in RNAcentral is "partial 16S ribosomal RNA". It matches the Rfam family "Bacterial small subunit ribosomal RNA", at positions 524 to 776 of the family's 1533-position model. The record is from RNAcentral.
UACGUAGGGCGCAAGCGUUAUCCGGAAUUAUUGGGCGUAAAGAGCUCGUAGGCGGUUUGUCGCGUCUGCCGUGAAAGUCCGGGGCUCAACUCCGGAUCUGCGGUGGGUACGGGCAGACUAGAGUGAUGUAGGGGAGACUGGAAUUCCUGAUGUAGCGGUGAAAUGCGCAGAUAUCAGGAGGAACACCGAUGGCGAAGGCAGGUCUCUGGGCAUUAACUGACGCUGAGGAGCGAAAGCAUGGGGAGCGAACAGG